Molecule: non-coding RNA, 2060 nt
Organism: Mus caroli (Ryukyu mouse)
Lineage: Eukaryota; Metazoa; Chordata; Mammalia; Rodentia; Muridae
Source: RefSeq, a predicted model, not a curated record
AUGAUUGAAAGAAACAGAUACAGAGACCCAGAACCAAACAUUGAGAGGAGCCCAGAUAUUCUUAAAGAAGGCAGGGAGGAAGAACUGGACAAGUUAAAGGGUUCAAGCCUCCACCUCACCGCUGCUCUGUCUCCUCAGAGUCGCCCUCUCUCACCACCACCCGCCAGGAACAGGCAGCUCGAUGAGGCGUUCAUCGAGGAGGGGACGUUCCUCUUUACUUCAGAGUCUGUAGGGGAAGGUCACCCAGAUAAGAUUUGUGACUAAAUCAGUGAUGCUGUCCUUGAUGCACACCUUCAACAAGACUCUAAUGCUAAAGUGGCUUGUGAAACUGUUGCUAAAACUGGAAUGAUCCUUCUUGCUGGGGAAAUUACAUCCAGAGCUGCCAUUGAUUACCAGAAAGUGGUUCGUGAAGCCAUAAAGCACAUUAGAUAUGAUGACUCUUCCAAAGGGUUUGACUACAAGACUUGUAAAGUGUUGGUUGCCUUGGAACAACAGUCACCAGAUACUGCCCACGGUGUUCAUCUUGACGGGAAUGAGGAAGACAUUGGUGCAGGAGACCAGGGUUUGAUGUUUGGUUAUGACACUGAUGAAACUGAAGAGUGUAUGCCUUUAACCAUUGUCUUAGCACACAAGCUAAAUGCCAAACUGGCUGAACUACGACGCAAUGGUACACUGCCUUGGUUACGCCCAGAUUCUAAAACUCAAGUGACUGUGCAGUAUAUGCAAGAUCGGGGUGCUGUGCUUCCCAUCAGAGUCCACACGAUUGUUAUAUCUAUUCAGCAUGAUGAAGAAGUUUGUCUUGAUGAGAUGAGGGAUGCUCUGAAGGAGAAAGUGAUCAAGGCUGUUAUACCUGCAAAAGACCUUGAUGAGGAUACAAUUUACCACCUACAGACAAGUGGCAGAUUUGUUAUUGGUGGGCCUCAGGGUGAUGCUGGCCUGAGUGGCCGAAAAAUCAUUGUGGAUACUUAUGGCGGUUGGGGAGCUCAUGGAGNAGGGGCCUUUUCAGGAAAGGAUUAUACCAAAGUGGACCGUUCAGCUGCUUAUGCUGCUCGUUUGGUGGCAAAAUCCCUCGUUAAAGGAGGUUUGUGCAGGAGGGUUCUUGUUCAGGUCUCUUAUGCUAUUGGAGUUUCUCAUCCAUUGUCGAUCUCCAUUUUCCAUUAUGGCACUUCUCAGAAGAGUGAGAGAGAGCUAUUAGAAAUUGUAAAGAAGAAUUUUGAUCUUCGCCCUGGGGUCAUUGUCAGGGAUCUGGAUCUGAAGAAGCCAAUUUAUCAGAGGACUGCAGCCUAUGGCCACUUUGGUAGGGACAGCUUCCCAUGGGAAGUGCCCAAAAAGCUUAAAUAUUGAAAGUGUUAGCCUUUUUCCCCCAGACUUGUUGGCGUAGGUUACAGAGAAGCCUUCAAGCUCUGAGGGAAAGGGCCUUCUUCCUAAAUCUUUCUGUCCUCUUUCAGCUCCUGAUCAGUUGCAGUCACUCUAAUCAAUGACAUGAAUUUUAGCUUUUGUGGGGGACUGUAAAUUGGGCUUGCUAUUCUGUCCCUAGGUGUUUUGUUCACCAUUAUAAUGGAUAUAGUGAGCAUAGGUGACCCAUGUAACUGCCUAGAAACAAACACUGUAGUGAAUAAUGCUUUGAAAUCGAACCUUUGUGCCCUAUCACCUAAUCCUCCAAAGUCCUAAUUGCAAUUACCUUCCCACCAGAUGCUGAAAAUAUCCUUGUACUGUGCACAUAAAGUACUUGUAGUUUGACUAUAGACUCUAGCAAUGUCACAGCCCUGUCAGCAUGAAUCUGUAAUGUCUUGAGCUCUAUUUAUUGAAUGUGAAGCCCCUGCCCUUAUCCUCCCUGUAACUCAUUUCUAAUUAUGUAUUUCUUUAUCAGGGAGUGUUCCUAUCCAAUCAAUCUUGCAUGAAAUGAAAGUUUCAGUUGGAGCUCUAGCCUGACUUUGAAAAAAAAAAAAAGAAGGCAGUUACAAUUAAACCAUCUCCCUGGUGCUUAUGCUAUUAAUUGCCACCUCAAACAGCACCAAAUCAAAAUCUCUCCACUUUUCAGCUGUCUUUGGAGGACGUAC